AGGAAUCUGCCUGGUAGUGGGGGAUAACGUCCGGAAACGGACGCUAAUACCGCAUACGUCCUACGGGAGAAAGCAGGGGACCUUCGGGCCUUGCGCUAUCAGAUGAGCCUAGGUCGGAUUAGCUAGUUGGUGGGGUAAUGGCUCACCAAGGCGACGAUCCGUAACUGGUCUGAGAGGAUGAUCAGUCACACUGGAACUGAGACACGGUCCAGACUCCUACGGGAGGCAGCAGUGGGGAAUAUUGGACAAUGGGCGAAAGCCUGAUCCAGCCAUGCCGCGUGUGUGAAGAAGGUCUUCGGAUUGUAAAGCACUUUAAGUUGGGAGGAAGGGCAGUAAAUUAAUACUUUGCUGUUUUGACGUUACCGACAGAAUAAGCACCGGCUAACUCUGUGCCAGCAGCCGCGGUAAUACAGAGGGUGCAAGCGUUAAUCGGAAUUACUGGGCGUAAAGCGCGCGUAGGUGGUUCGUUAAGUUGGAUGUGAAAUCCCCGGGCUCAACCUGGGAACUGCAUUCAAAACUGACGAGCUAGAGUAUGGUAGAGGGUGGUGGAAUUUCCUGUGUAGCGGUGAAAUGCGUAGAUAUAGGAAGGAACACCAGUGGCGAA
Molecule: ribosomal RNA, 604 nt
Filed under: uncultured bacterium
Lineage: Bacteria
Description: bacterial SSU rRNA
Rfam family: Bacterial small subunit ribosomal RNA
Source: RNAcentral